GACGAACGCUGGCGGCGUGCCUAAUACAUGCGAGUAGAACGCUGAAGAGAGGAGCUUGCUCUUCUUGGAUGAGUUGCGAACGGGUGAGUAACGCGUAGGUAACCUGCCUUGUAGCGGGGGAUAACUAUUGGAAACGAUAGCUAAUACCGCAUAACAAUGGAUGACACAUGUCAUUUAUUUGAAAGGGGCAAUUGCUCCACUACAAGAUGGACCUGCGUUGUAUUAGCUAGUAGGUGAGGUAAUGGCUCACCUAGGCGACGAUACAUAGCCGACCUGAGAGGGUGAUCGGCCACACUGGGACGGAGACACGGCCCAGACUCCUACGGGAGGCAGCAGUAGGGAAUCUUCGGCAAUGGGGGCAACCCUGACCGAGCAACGCCGCGUGAGUGAAGAAGGUUUUCGGAUCGUAAAGCUCUGUUGUAAGUCAAGAACGGGUGUGAGAGUGGAAAGUUCACACUGUGACGGUAGCUUACCAGAAAGGGACGGCUAACUACGUG
RNAcentral lists this ribosomal RNA (497 nucleotides) under uncultured bacterium. RNAcentral describes it as "partial 16S ribosomal RNA". It matches the Rfam family "Bacterial small subunit ribosomal RNA", at positions 28 to 507 of the family's 1533-position model. The record is from RNAcentral.